GUGAAUGGAUGAGUUAAUACUGAUGGACUCUUUACUCAGCAGCCUCUACCAUCAGUGUGUGAAUGGAUGAGUUAAUACUGAUGGACUCUUUACACAGCGGCCUCUACCAUCAGUGUGUGAAUGUCUUAAGUCCAUUUACCAUUAGAGGUGACAUUGACAAGAUGCUUAAAGUUGAACUUCUUCAAAAAUCAACUGAUGCCGAGGUUGUUUUAGCGCUCAGGACUGUGAAUGCUGAAACGUUAAACAACAUGGGUGUCGCAUCUAACACAUGGGGGCUGCCAGCGCAAAUAAACACAGAGCGCAAUAACAGUUUUUAGCAACAAGGCGACUCAAAGUGCUUCACACAAGAUAAAAAAGCAGCAUGACAAAGGGAAAAAUACAUUAAGAUAGGAGAUUUAAACAAACCAUUAACAAUCACAGAGAAGAUUUGAUGUGAAAAUAUGCACAGAAAGAAAUACAAAUAAGAUCCCCAAGAAACAAAGAAAUGAGACAUUAAAGGCUUUAUAUGUGAUUUUUUGAUCCAGCAGAUGUCGCCCUUGAGCACCAGCAUGAAACCAAAACAACUGGUGCUGCAUUGUUGUGUUAGCAUGCUAAUACUAGCGAUCUUUAUUAUGCUCGUAUCUUCACACUGCAUGUAAAUUGACCUGAAAUAAGCGUGAUCUAGAAACACAGUUAAUCAGUGAGUACAGUAUGUUAUUCUUCUUUUCUCUAGUCCCUCAAUUAAACAACUUUUAUACACGAGGGGAGGAGUCAGCCGGCCGUCCGGGCGAUGUAAACAAAGUGAAGAUAGGACUCUGAAAACUCUGAAAACGUCACAGACAGUGGGACUCGGGUGUUACACCCAUUGUAGACAGUCAUGACUCACAGAGUUAUUUUCAGAGGAUAUACUUGAUUUCUACAUUUAAGAGUGAAAAAUCACAUAUUAAGACUUUAACCAAAAAUGUGAGUGAGUCCUCUGGAGAGACAUCUGGCCUGAUGGGAUCAUUUUCCACUUUCACACACAAACUAAUCUGGCUAAUGACGCUCUCUGGCUGCACACACUUUAAACAUCACCUGGCAUCACAGCAGCUUCUCAGACAGGUGAGGCAGAAGACACUGCCUCGAAGACCAGAAGAGAAACUAAAGAAACCUGUGACCAUUCUUUUGUGUUUAACUGGUUUAUGGUAAUUCAUUCUGUUUAACAAUCGAUCCCGAGGACUGAGGCUCACAGUUUGCUCCGUCUGUGACGAGUCGCAGCUUUCAAGCUGGGCUCAGAUAUUUGUUGUGUAAGCUCAUACACAAAGUACUUACAGUAGUGUUGUAGUACUCAAAAUCAGUCUUGGUCUCGAGACUUUUUAGAGGUCUCAGUCUCAGGAUUAAAAGCAUUUUUGCUCGGUCUUGUCUCGGUCUCAGAUUGGACGGACUCCCUGCUCACAAAAAUAUUUUUUUAAGUGAUAUUUAUGGUCUUAGUCUUGACCCGGUCUGGAUCCCUAAGUGUCUUGGUUUUGUCUCGGUCUCGCUGUGGCUUGCUCUUGAUUCCUAAAUAUCUUGAUCUUGUCUUGAUCUUGGAGCACUCUGGUCAUGGGUAUGUCUCGGUCUCUGUAAGUGUGGUAAGGUGAGUUAUAUCAAUACAUCCCGUCCAUACCCACGUGACCUUCAACCCCCCUUACUCAAUAUAAUCACACAUAUACUGUAACCCACUUGUUACCACCUGGCUCAGAGCUGGUAACAAAGAUGGAGGCCCCGCCCCUUUAGUGAAGGUCUGUCAUUCUCCUUGUGGGGAGUGGUUAGGUGGCACCCUCUACUGACCAGUCGCCAUUGUCUGGUACUGAGAUUUGUGUUAGAACAACAUAGCUCGCCUUCAUAUGUCACAAACAGAAAACUGAUGCUAUUUGUCUUAAUUCAGUUCCACUGUUCAUCUACUUUGGCGUCACACGGCGUCCCACAGGGCACAACAUCACCGACUUCAGUACGAGAGGAAACAUCCUCAUUUUUAUACCUGUUACCCCCGUCCCUCCCGACCAGCCGAAACAGCUCCGACAGACACACAAUGCAGGAAUGUUAUUCACCCCUGCUAGACCUUUCAGGACCUUUCAAAACAAAAGCGUGGGUCAGCAGUAAUUGUGCCCAUGUGCCCAGCGGUCUCCUGCGUCCUGUUUACAUCUCUGCCAACGCCGUCCUCCACCUGCUGUCACGGAUUCUUGUUUUCCCAUCUUUGCCUGGGAUCUGUUUCGAAGGACCCCGUAAGGAUCUUUCUUUUUUUUAACACAAAGUUUGGAUUUCUCCAGUUUUGGAAGAUCGACUUAUCCGGGGAAGUAUUUUUCUGGACUCGUUUGUUGAGACUGAAGAUGUCUUUAAAAAGGCGGCUGCUCUCCAUGUUGUUGUGCUGUGUUUACUGCGUGGCCUCGCUCUUCUGCCUCCACCCGAACCGCCUCAACUGCUUCUCUGCAGGAUCGCGGAAUCUGGGCUCAGUCUUCCAGCAGCUUUACCAGCGUGUCAUUCGAAUGCUUCGCUCCGCUCUCUGAUCCGAGGAGCUUCUUGUGUUUCAACUCAUCACAACUCUGGAGCUGCCCGGCUGCCAGUGAGGCCUCCGCGGUGUUCAUCAAGCAUGUCCUCCAGUAGACCAUCACCAAAUGAAAA
Long non-coding RNA from Labrus mixtus (cuckoo wrasse), 2619 nucleotides. RefSeq lists it as uncharacterized. The record is from RefSeq and is a predicted model, not a curated record. Lineage: Eukaryota; Metazoa; Chordata; Actinopteri; Labriformes; Labridae. The transcript has 4 exons.